Molecule: microRNA precursor, 57 nt
Filed under: Pelobates cultripes (western spadefoot toad)
Lineage: Eukaryota; Metazoa; Chordata; Amphibia; Anura; Pelobatidae
Source: RNAcentral
UAGAUAUAGCUGUCCCACAUAAACCAUAAAUAGGUUUAUGUGGGACAGCUACAUCUA